CAGUAGCCGCGGUAACACGAAGGGUGCAAGCGUUACUCGGAAUUACUGGGCGUAAAGCGUGCGUAGGUGGUGGUUUAAGUCCGUUGUGAAAGCCCUGGGCUCAACCUGGGAAUUGCAGUGGAUACUGGGUCACUAGAGUGUGGUAGAGGAUAGUGGAAUUUCCGGUGUAGCAGUGAAAUGCGUAGAGAUCGGAAGGAACAUCUGUGGCGAAGGCGACUAUCUGGGCCAACACUGACACUGAGGCACGAAAGCGUGGGGAGCAAACAGGAUUAGAUACCCCCGUAGUCCCUGUCUCUUAUAC
Molecule: ribosomal RNA, 301 nt
Filed under: uncultured bacterium
Lineage: Bacteria
Description: partial 16S ribosomal RNA
Rfam family: Bacterial small subunit ribosomal RNA
Source: RNAcentral